This 207-nucleotide ribosomal RNA is filed under the name uncultured soil bacterium. RNAcentral's name for it is "partial 16S ribosomal RNA". It matches the Rfam family "Bacterial small subunit ribosomal RNA", at positions 26 to 260 of the family's 1533-position model. The record is from RNAcentral.
AGAACGAACGCUGGCGGCAUGCCUAACACAUGCAAGUCGAACGAGACCUUCGGGUUUAGUGGCGCACGGGUGCGUAACGCGUGGGAAUCUGCCCUUGGGUUCGGAAUAACAGUUGGAAACGACUGCUAAUACCGGAUGAUGACGUAAGUCCAAAGAUUUAUCGCCCAGGGAUGAGCCCGCGGUAGGAUUAGCUAGUUGGUGAGUAAA